AAAUUGAAGAGUUUGAUCAUGGCUCAGAUUGAACGCUGGCGGCAGGCCUAACACAUGCAAGUCGAACGGUAACAGGAAGCAGCUUGCUGCUUCGCUGACGAGUGGCGGACGGGUGAGUAAUGUCUGGGAAACUGCCUGAUGGAGGGGGAUAACUACUGGAAACGGUGGCUAAUACCGCAUAACGUCGCAAGACCAAAGAGGGGGACCUUCGGGCCUCUUGCCAUCAGAUGUGCCCAGAUGGGAUUAGCUUGUUGGUGAGGUAACGGCUCACCAAGGCGACGAUCCCUAGCUGGUCUGAGAGGAUGACCAGCCACACUGGAACUGAGACACGGUCCAGACUCCUACGGGAGGCAGCAGUGGGGAAUAUUGCACAAUGGGCGCAAGCCUGAUGCAGCCAUGCCGCGUGUAUGAAGAAGGCCUUCGGGUUGUAAAGUACUUUCAGCGGGGAGGAAGGUGUUGUGGUUAAUAACCGCAGCAAUUGACGUUACCCGCAGAAGAAGCACCGGCUAACUCCGUGCCAGCAGCCGCGGUAAUACGGAGGGUGCAAGCGUUAAUCGGAAUUACUGGGCGUAAAGCGCACGCAGGCGGUCUGUCAAGUCGGAUGUGAAAUCCCCGGGCUCAACCUGGGAACUGCAUUCGAAACUGGCAGGCUUGAGUCUUGUAGAGGGGGGUAGAAUUCCAGGUGUAGCGGUGAAAUGCGUAGAGAUCUGGAGGAAUACCGGUGGCGAAGGCGGCCCCCUGGACAAAGACUGACGCUCAGGUGCGAAAGCGUGGGGAGCAAACAGGAUUAGAUACCCUGGUAGUCCACGCCGUAAACGAUGUCUACUUGGAGGUUGUGCCCUUGAGGCGUGGCUUCCGGAGCUAACGCGUUAAGUAGACCGCCUGGGGAGUACGGCCGCAAGGUUAAAACUCAAAUGAAUUGACGGGGGCCCGCACAAGCGGUGGAGCAUGUGGUUUAAUUCGAUGCAACGCGAAGAACCUUACCUGGUCUUGACAUCCACAGAACUUUCCAGAGAUGGAUUGGUGCCUUCGGGAACUGUGAGACAGGUGCUGCAUGGCUGUCGUCAGCUCGUGUUGUGAAAUGUUGGGUUAAGUCCCGCAACGAGCGCAACCCUUAUCCUUUGUUGCCAGCGGUCCGGCCGGGAACUCAAAGGAGACUGCCAGUGAUAAACUGGAGGAAGGUGGGGAUGACGUCAAGUCAUCAUGGCCCUUACGACCAGGGCUACACACGUGCUACAAUGGCGCAUACAAAGAGAAGCGACCUCGCGAGAGCAAGCGGACCUCAUAAAGUGCGUCGUAGUCCGGAUUGGAGUCUGCAACUCGACUCCAUGAAGUCGGAAUCGCUAGUAAUCGUGGAUCAGAAUGCCACGGUGAAUACGUUCCCGGGCCUUGUACACACCGCCCGUCACACCAUGGGAGUGGGUUGCAAAAGAAGUAGGUAGCUUAACCUUCGGGAGGGCGCUUACCACUUUGUGAUUCAUGACUGGGGUGAAGUCGUAACAAGGUAACCGUAGGGGAACCUGCGGUUGGAUCACCUCCUUACCUGAAAGAA
This 1552-nucleotide ribosomal RNA is filed under the name Salmonella enterica. Its description in RNAcentral is "bacterial SSU rRNA". It matches the Rfam family "Bacterial small subunit ribosomal RNA". RNAcentral also lists the same sequence under 1 other name. The record is from RNAcentral. Lineage: Bacteria; Pseudomonadati; Pseudomonadota; Gammaproteobacteria; Enterobacterales; Enterobacteriaceae.